Non-coding RNA from Armillaria mellea, 82 nucleotides. NCBI's taxonomy places the organism in Eukaryota, Fungi, Basidiomycota, Agaricomycetes, Agaricales, Physalacriaceae. The record is from the annotation of a GenBank genome assembly.
GCCCUCUUAGCUCAGUGGUAGAGCGUGUCACUCGUACGGAGGCUACAUGACAAGGUCAGUCGUUCAAGUCGGCUAGGGGGCA